GUUAGGAAUAUUGGACAAUGGGCGAAAGCCUGAUCCAGCCAUGCCGCGUGAACGAUGAAGGCCUUCGGGUUGUAAAGUUCUUUAGCCGAUGAUUAUAAUGACUGUAGUCGGAAAAUAAGCCCCGGCUAACUUCGUGCCAGCAGCCGCGGUAAUACGAAGGGGGCGAGCGUUAUUCGGAAUCACUGGGCGUAAAGCGUGCGUAGGCGGUUUUGUAAGUUAGGAGUGAAAGCCCAGGGCUCAACCUUGGAAUUGCUCUUAAAACUGCAAGGCUCGAAUCUCGGAGAGGAUAGCGGAAUUUCCAGUGUAGCAGUGAAAUGCGUAGAUAUUGGAAGGAACACCAGUGGCGUAAGCGGCUAUCUGGACGAGUAUUGACGCUGAGGCACGAAAGCGUGGGGAUCAAACAGGAUUAGAUACUCGGGUAGUCC
Molecule: ribosomal RNA, 425 nt
Filed under: uncultured bacterium
Lineage: Bacteria
Description: partial 16S ribosomal RNA
Rfam family: Bacterial small subunit ribosomal RNA
Source: RNAcentral